AAACAAAGAAAACUUAAGUCGGCGGACGAAAUAAAAAUAUCCAAAAACUAAGGCCGGCGGAAGACGUGAUUUUCUCGCAAACUAAGCCCUAUGAAAG
RNAcentral lists this small RNA (97 nucleotides) under Arabidopsis thaliana (thale cress). RNAcentral's name for it is "ATSL077050". The record is from RNAcentral. Lineage: Eukaryota; Viridiplantae; Streptophyta; Magnoliopsida; Brassicales; Brassicaceae.